Molecule: non-coding RNA, 114 nt
Organism: Acanthosepion pharaonis
Lineage: Eukaryota; Metazoa; Mollusca; Cephalopoda; Sepiida; Sepiidae
Source: the annotation of a GenBank genome assembly
UUACGGCCAUAUAACGUGGAGACAUCGGUUCCAGUACGAUCACCGAGGUUAAGCAACGUUGAAACUGAUCAGUACCUAGAUGGGUGACCGUGUGGGUGUAGCAGGUGCUGUAAG